RNAcentral lists this ribosomal RNA (235 nucleotides) under uncultured Staphylococcus sp. RNAcentral's name for it is "partial 16S ribosomal RNA". It matches the Rfam family "Bacterial small subunit ribosomal RNA", at positions 105 to 334 of the family's 1533-position model. Lineage: Bacteria; Bacillati; Bacillota; Bacilli; Caryophanales; Staphylococcaceae. The record is from RNAcentral.
GGUGAGUAACACGUGGAUAACCUACCUAUAAGACUGGGAUAACUUCGGGAAACCGGAGCUAAUACCGGAUAAUAUUUUGAACCGCAUGGUUCAAAAGUGAAAGACGGUCUUGCUGUCACUUAUAGAUGGAUCCGCGCUGCAUUAGCUAGUUGGUAAGGUAACGGCUUACCAAGGCAACGAUGCAUAGCCGACCUGAGAGGGUGAUCGGCCACACUGGAACUGGGACACGGUCCAG